This 492-nucleotide ribosomal RNA is filed under the name uncultured bacterium. RNAcentral's name for it is "partial 16S ribosomal RNA". It matches the Rfam family "Bacterial small subunit ribosomal RNA", at positions 28 to 507 of the family's 1533-position model. The record is from RNAcentral.
GAUGAACGCUAGCUACAGGCUUAACACAUGCAAGUCGAGGGGAAACGACAUCGAAAGCUUGCUUUUGUUGGGCGUCGACCGGCGCACGUGAGAGUAACGCGUAUCCAACCUGCCCAUCACUUGGGAAUAACCUUGCGAAACUAAGACUAAUACCUAAUGACAUCCGCCUAAGACAUCUGAAUGGGAUGAAAUUUUUAUCGGUUAUGGAUGGGGAUGCGUCUGAUUAGCUUGUUGGCAGGGUAACGGCCCACCAAGGCAACGAUCAGUAGGGGUUCUGAGAGGAAGGUCCCCCACAUUGGAACUGAGGCACGGUCCACACUGCUACGGGGGGGAGCAGUGAGGAAUAUUGGUCAAUGGACGAGAGCCUGAACCAGCCGAGUGGGGUGCAAGAUGACGGGCCUAUGGGUUGUAAACUGCUUUUAAAAGAGAAAAGAGUGGGUAACGUGAGACUUUUUGCAUGUACCUUAUGAAUAAGAACCGGCUAAUUCCGUG